AUUCCCUUUGACUAGGGAUCCAAAGCGGGUGCGAGACCCGUACGUAUUGCCGGUUUGUCGUACGCGUUUGCCUCUUGGAGUCGGGUUGUUUGAGAUCGCAGCCCUAAGUAGGUGGUAUACUUCAUCUAAAGCUAAAUACGACUACGAAUCCGAUAGCAAACAAGUACCGUGAGGGAAAGUUGCAAAGUACUUUGAAGAGAGAGUUCAAGAGGACGUGAAACCGAUAGGAUGGAAGCAGAUGAAGUUGACGAACGAGUGUCGUAUUCAGGGUUGCAUCUUGUGUGCGGUCUGUUCUUGCGACCGAUGUGGGCUGGCGGCGUUGGUCAAUGCACUGUGUCAAGUUUCGAUGGAGACCCUGCGGAGGGAUAAUCGGUCGUUGCACGAUGCGUGGUAUGGCUAACGUUUCGCCGGUCUUGAAGUCAGCGCCUCAUCUGACCCGUCUUGAAACACGGACCAAGGAGUGUAGCGUUUGCGCAAGUCUUAGAGUGUGUCAAAACUUUGAGGCGUAACGAAAGUAAAUGUAGUUUAAUCUACUGACUUGGGAUACGUUGUGUCGUGUGCACGGCGUUGGACCAUGGUUUUAUCGCGAUCGCUUGCGAUGCGGUGAAAAUAGAGCGUAAACGGUGCGA
Molecule: ribosomal RNA, 629 nt
Filed under: Steinernema sp. eKK9.1_TH
Lineage: Eukaryota; Metazoa; Nematoda; Chromadorea; Rhabditida; Steinernematidae
Description: eukaryotic LSU rRNA
Rfam family: Eukaryotic large subunit ribosomal RNA
Source: RNAcentral